This 394-nucleotide ribosomal RNA is filed under the name uncultured bacterium. RNAcentral describes it as "partial 16S ribosomal RNA". It matches the Rfam family "Bacterial small subunit ribosomal RNA", at positions 338 to 729 of the family's 1533-position model. The record is from RNAcentral.
CCUACGGGAGGCAGCAGUGAGGAAUAUUGGUCAAUGGGCGUAAGCCUGAACCAGCCAAGUCGCGUGAGGGAUGAAGGUUCUAUGGAUCGUAAACCUCUUUUAUAUGGGAAUAAAGUGUGGGACGUGUCCUUUUUUGUAUGUACCUUAUGAAUAAGGAUCGGCUAACUCCGCGCCAGCAGCCGCGGUAAUACGGAGGAUCCGCGCGUUAUCGGGAUUUAGUGGGUUUAAAGGGUGCGUAGGCGGCCUUUUAAGUCAGCGGUGAAAGCUUGUGGGUCAACCAUAGAAUUGCCGGUGAAACUGGGGGGCUUGAGUAUGUUAGAGGCAGGCGGAAUGCGUGGUGUAGCGGUGAAAUGCUUAGAUAGCACGAAGAACCCCGAUUGCGAAGGCAGCCUGC